ACACAACAUGCAGGCAAGAGGACAAAGAAAAGCACUCAGAACGAUAAUAACCCAAAAUUAAGAACGCCAGGGCAUCAAAACAAAGUUCAGCUGACAUUCUUAAUUUUGGGGUGUUGUCAAUACCCAAAAAAGAAAGUUCGUAGACCGAACUGACCGCCCCAAAAAAUUUCCCUUUGUUUUUGAUUUGUUUUAUUGUGUUCCCAAACAACAACCAAAGUCGCAAUCGAGGUUGUAAGGUUGAAACGUUUAUUCUCCGGACGUCUCUUCUUCAUAAGACGCUGUUUUGCAUCUGCUACAGUCGGAUUGUAACUAAAAAAAAUCUAACCUAUAUUCCGAAAAAAAACCCAGCAGGCCAUGAGGAGGAAGAAACUAUUCGGGAAAUCGGAACUUCCACCCACUGUAGGAGGGACCAACUUAACAAUUAGCACUAUGCUGGAGCCACCCGGAACAGACUGCAGUGACAGAAUAAAUCACGAGAAGAUUUCCCCAAAAACCGUUCCAUCAUUUCCAGUAACGAUAGCAUAGUUUUCACCAGUUCCAGUUAUCCAGUCUAGAUUCACCAGUUCCAGUUACUAUACGAAGGUAUACGAGAUUUGUACAGGUUAAACAGAAAACUUUUCUGUUCUACAAACUCAAAUAAACGAACCUGGAUUAAUGCAUGCAUGCUUCCCGAUGCCAAAAGAUUCAAUUUUUAUCAAAUUGCGUUCUCUAUUCCGGCCUGGGUGCAGGAUUAG
Molecule: long non-coding RNA, 734 nt
Organism: Uranotaenia lowii
Lineage: Eukaryota; Metazoa; Arthropoda; Insecta; Diptera; Culicidae
Exons: 3
Source: RefSeq, a predicted model, not a curated record